UUGGCCCUACGGGGCGCAGCAGUGAGGAAUAUUGGUCAAUGGCCGGAAGGCUGAACCAGCCACGCCGCGUGAAGGACGAAGGUGCCAAGCAUUGUAAACUUCUUUUGUCAAGGGACAAAAUCAGGCUCGAGAGCCUGACCGAGGGUACUUGAAGAAAAAGCAUCGGCUAACUCCGUGCCAGCAGCCGCGGUAAUACGGAGGAUGCGAGCGUUAUCCGGAUUUAUUGGGUUUAAAGGGUGCGUAGGCGGGCUGUUAAGUCAGCGGUAAAAGCCCGGGGCCCAAC
Molecule: ribosomal RNA, 283 nt
Filed under: uncultured bacterium
Lineage: Bacteria
Description: partial 16S ribosomal RNA
Rfam family: Bacterial small subunit ribosomal RNA
Source: RNAcentral